Molecule: ribosomal RNA, 76 nt
Filed under: Ophiocordyceps sinensis
Lineage: Eukaryota; Fungi; Ascomycota; Sordariomycetes; Hypocreales; Ophiocordycipitaceae
Also listed under: 1 other name
Description: partial 28S rRNA
Rfam family: Eukaryotic large subunit ribosomal RNA
Source: RNAcentral
GUUGACCUCGGAUCAGGUAGGGAUACCCGCUGAACUUAAGCAUAUCAAUAAGCGGAGGAAAAGAAACCAACAGGGA